AAAUUGAAGAGUUUGAUCAUGGCUCAGAUUGAACGCUGGCGGCAGGCCUAACACAUGCAAGUCGAGCGGAAACGAGUUAUCAGAACCUUCGGGGGACGAUAACGGCGUCGAGCGGCGGACGGGUGAGUAAUGCCUAGGAAAUUGCCCUGAUGUGGGGGAUAACCAUUGGAAACGAUGGCUAAUACCGCAUGAUGCCUACGGGCCAAAGAGGGGGACCUUCGGGCCUCUCGCGUCAGGAUAUGCCUAGGUGGGAUUAGCUAGUUGGUGAGGUAAGGGCUC
RNAcentral lists this ribosomal RNA (279 nucleotides) under Vibrio parahaemolyticus. Its description in RNAcentral is "partial 16S ribosomal RNA". It matches the Rfam family "Bacterial small subunit ribosomal RNA", at positions 1 to 266 of the family's 1533-position model. Lineage: Bacteria; Pseudomonadati; Pseudomonadota; Gammaproteobacteria; Vibrionales; Vibrionaceae. The record is from RNAcentral.